This 255-nucleotide ribosomal RNA is filed under the name uncultured bacterium. RNAcentral's name for it is "partial 16S ribosomal RNA". It matches the Rfam family "Bacterial small subunit ribosomal RNA", at positions 524 to 776 of the family's 1533-position model. The record is from RNAcentral.
UACGGGGGGAGCAAGCGUUGUUCGGAUUUACUGGGCGUAAAGGGCGCGUAGGCGGUCGUGACAAGUCACUUGUGAAAUCUCCGGGCUUAACUCGGAACGGUCAAGUGAUACUGUCGGACUAGAGUACAGAAGGGGCAACUGGAAUUCUCGGUGUAGCGGUGAAAUGCGUAGAUAUCGAGAGGAACACCUGCGGCGAAGGCGGGUUGCUGGGCUGAUACUGACGCUGAGGCGCGAAAGCGUGGGGGAGCGAACAGG